GCCGCGUGUGUGAAGAAGGCCUUCGGGUUGUAAAGCACUUUCAGUUGUGAGGAAAAGUUAGUAGUUAAUACCUGCUAGCCGUGACGUUAACAACAGAAGAAGCACCGGCUAACUCCGUGCCAGCAGCCGCGGUAAUACGGAGGGUGCGAGCGUUAAUCGGAAUUACUGGGCGUAAAGCGCACGCAGGCGGUUUGUUAAGCUAGAUGUGAAAGCCCCGGGCUCAACCUGGGAUGGUCAUUUAGAACUGGCAGACUAGAGUCUUGGAGAGGGGAGUGGAAUUCCAGGUGUAGCGGUGAAAUGCGUAGAUAUCUGGAGGAACAUCAGUGGCGAAGGCGACUCCCUGGCCAAAGACUGACGCUCAUGUGCGAAAGUGUGGGUAGCGAACAGGAUUAGAUACCCUGGUAGUCCACACCGUAAACGCUGUCUACUAGCUGUGUGUGCCUUUAAGGCGUGCGUAGCGAAGCUAACGCGCUAAGUAGACCGCCUGGGGAGUACGGCCGCAAGGUUAAAACUCAAAUGAAUUGACGGGGGCCCGCACAAGCGGUGGAGCAUGUGGUUUAAUUCGAUGCAACGCGAAGAA
This 580-nucleotide ribosomal RNA is filed under the name Alteromonas sp. SDDC2. RNAcentral's name for it is "bacterial SSU rRNA". It matches the Rfam family "Bacterial small subunit ribosomal RNA", at positions 396 to 968 of the family's 1533-position model. Lineage: Bacteria; Pseudomonadati; Pseudomonadota; Gammaproteobacteria; Alteromonadales; Alteromonadaceae. The record is from RNAcentral.